This 585-nucleotide small RNA is filed under the name Pongo abelii (Sumatran orangutan). RNAcentral describes it as "processed transcript". The record is from RNAcentral. Lineage: Eukaryota; Metazoa; Chordata; Mammalia; Primates; Hominidae.
UGGAACUGGCCAGGAGAGGAGGCAACAUCAUCCUGGCCUGCCGAGACAUGGAGAAGUGUGAGGCGGCGGCAAAGGACAUCCGCGGGGAGACCCUCAAUCACCACGUCAACGCCCGGCACCUGGACUUGGCUUCCCUCCAGUCCAUCCGAGAGUUUGCAGCAAAGAUCAUUGAAGGAGUAAACUGAGUCACAGAGAAGCGAUGUGACUUGGCCAGGAUCAUGCAGCUGGUCGGGGUGGAGCCAGGGUUUGAACCCGUCUCUCCUGCUCCAGAGCUCGUAUUCAUGACGGGUGUGCCGCAACCCCUCCUUCUCACACAGAGAACGAGACGGUGUCUCUGUGUGUUACACACUGGACACCUAAUUCAUAAUCCCUGCCGAAAACCACUUUGGGAGCAUUAUGAAUUCCAUUGUGUCCUCCACCCCCAAGGAUAGGUUGGGAUCCUGAACCCCCGUCGCUCAGCAUGUGACCUCAUUUAGAGAGGAGGAGCGAGUGGACAUUCUAAUCAACAACGCGGGUGUGAUGCGGUGUCCCCACUGGAUCACCGAGGACGGCUUCGAGAUGCAGUUUGGCGUUAACCACCUGGGU